This 24223-nucleotide long non-coding RNA is filed under the name Triticum aestivum (bread wheat). RNAcentral's name for it is "long non-coding RNA (TAES_LNC003900)". Lineage: Eukaryota; Viridiplantae; Streptophyta; Magnoliopsida; Poales; Poaceae. The record is from RNAcentral.
GCAUCUCCUGCCUGCGGAGGCCACCGUCGACCCGUGCCCUUUAGGCCUUAAUUGAUCGUGCUCUGGAAUUUAGCUUCCGAUAGCUUAGCCGUCUUGUCAGAGCACAAGAGAGCUCAACUUGUGAAACAUAUAAUUGUGGUUUCAGUACUUGCCCGUGACCAUGUACUUAAUUUACAAACCCUUAUAUGUCUCUAGUGAGACUAAUCUCAUUUUAUAGGUUGGUUCUUGCCUAUCCACUGUUAAUCCCUCUGUUUUUGAUGUCCUGCACAAAGUGGGUUAUGAGCAUCAUCGUGCAAUUGAUUCAAUUUUGUAUCCAGUGUGAUGUUACUUCUCAGGAAAGAAAAGACAAGCUGGUUUGUAGUAUUCUGUGAUUAUAUGUGGACUGGGUUUCUGAAUGUUAAAGUUCUGGAUGCCUCGGUACCAGCAUCUAGAUGUGUCAAAAGAUGUGAGGUAGACAGAAGACUUGGAACUAUCCUCAAGGAACAGGAGAUGGCAUCUCUCCCUGUCCCGAGUGUGCAGGCCAUGGUGGCGGCCACCGGUGGAGCCGACGUGCCGCCAAGGUAUCUCCGUCCGGCAGAGGCGGUCGCUGGCGACAGCGAGGCCCACAUCCCCAUCAUCGACUACCAGAGGCUGCUGCUGGAGCUGGAGCUGGACCGCCAUGGCGAGGAGUCUGCACGCCUUCACGGGGCCUGCCAGGACUGGGGCUUCUUCCAGGUCAGUUCCUUGGCUGAAAAUUCCCAUUGCUUCAUCUCUGCACGCCUUCACAGGGCCUGCCAGGACUUGAGUUGCUCUUAUAAUUGCCUCAUCCUGAUACUAGAAAUAAAUGGUUCUUGCAGCUGAUUAACCACAGCGUCCCAGACGAUGUGGUGGAGGGAAUGAAGGCCAGCAUCCAGCAGUUCUUUCAGUUACCCAUGGAGACGAAGAAACAGUUUGCUAUGGAGCGAGGGCAGCUGGAAGGCUACGGUCAACUAUUCGUCUUCUCGGAGGAUCAGAAGCUCGAUUGGGCUGACAUACUUUACCUCUACACACAGCCACAUGAGAGCAGGAACACCAAGCUCUGGCCAGACCAGCCUGCCAACUUCAGGUAUGGUUGCGAUUGUGAUUCUCCGCUGCCACACUACUGUUCAGCCUGAUUACAACGAUGACAUGAUACCCUUUUUUUUUGUUGCCUCCUUAAUUGUUUUGCCCUAGCUGGAAGGGAAAUUUGGGUGGAAAUUAACAGUUUUAAAAACAUUCUUUUGUUGUCUGUACUUGUCUCAGUCUCUCAGAUACCUAUUGUUGUCUCCUCUAAUUUUUCCUACUUGGAAGUGCAAAUUUGUAGAGAAACGAUUGAAAAAAGCAUCAUUUCUAGCGCAAAUUGUGGUUCCGACUUCCAAGUCUUAUGCUACUAGAUGGAAGAUUGUAGUGCAGUUCUUACCCGUGAUACGUUUUGUUGUACUCUGAAUCUCAUUCAGAUCGAUGCUGGAUAGAUAUUCUGGUGCUGUCAAGGAUGUAUCAGACUCCCUUUUGGCCACGAUGGCAAAGAAUUUGGGACUGAAAAGAGAAGCGAUCGCUGACAAAUGCAUCCGUGGAGUGCAGUCUGUCAGAAUGAACUACUACCCCCCAUGCGCCCAAGCUGAGAAAGUCGUUGGCUUAUCCCCGCAUUCUGAUGCUGGUCUCCUAACCCUUGUCCUCCAAGUGAAUCAUGUCCAGGGCCUGCAGAUCAAGAGGAACAACAGGUGGCUUCCAGUCAAGCCUGUCCCGGGCGCUUUCAUCGUCAACAUCGGAGAUAUGUUUGAGGUGAGUGCGUGCAGCCGAACACCGAAUCGAAGCUACUGUCUGCUGAUGGCCAGAUGUUGUAUGACUCAGUAUGCUUGCAAAACUAAAAUAUCAUCAACCAAAUAAAUCCAUUCUCGCUGUUUGUUUUGCUUUGACGAGGAUAGGUCUUCACGAACGGGAGGUACAAGAGCAUCGAGCACCGGGCGGUUGUCGACCCGAAGGAAGAACGGCUGUCAGUCGCGGCGUUCCACUUACCAAACAUCCACGCCAUUAUAAGUCCUCUGAAGGAGAUUGCGGCACAUGAAGACGAUGGCUACAAGACGUUGGACCACGGGAGCUUCAUGAAGCUUUUCUACACGACAAAGCUCGAGGGGAAGAGCUUCUUGGAGAGGCUGAAGCUAAACUAGCUGGCCAGCAGCUGAAUGCUACCGUAUAUCAGGUAACAAGCCAUAUUGGUGCAGGCACCGUUGAUUCGCGUCCAUGCAUCAUUCUUGUAUCAGAUGCUCAGAUAGUUGACACAUGUAUCGGUUUGCACUUUGCAACCAAUCAUUCUCUGGAAUUUAGUUUCCGAUAGCUAGUCGCCUUGUUAGAGGCACAUAUUCUGUGGUUUCAGUGUGUUCUGUAACUCUGUGCAAACCUUUAUUUAUGUCACCUAAUCGCAUUCGAUAGAUUGUUGUUUCUACCAGUCUAUAUAUCCACUGUUAGUUCCUCUAUGCUGCUUGAUGCCUUGUACAAAGUGGGUUAUGUGCUGUGCGGCCAUGAGGUAUAGCUCUAUGGUUUCAGUUUCCAUCCAGUGUCAAGUUGGUUCCCAUGAGAUAGAAGAAAGUUGAUCCCCAGAAAUUAAAAAAAGAAGAAAACAAACAAGUUGGCAGUAUUUUUAUGGUUGUUGUAGCUGGACUGAACUUCUAAAUACGCAAAGUUCCUUCCUAGCUCGAGCUCCACGGUACCUCUUCUGAAUAUUAUAUUACUGGACUGGAUGAUGCCAGAAGACAUGAGGUAGACAGAAGGGAAGACUGAACUAUCAGAGGAAUUAGUAGCAUCUCAGGAGCAGCAACAGGAGAUGGAAUCUCUCCCCGUCCCGAGCGUGCAGGCCAUGGUGGCGGCCACCGGCGGAGCCGAUGUGCCACCGAGGUAUCUCCGGCCUGCGGAGGCGGUCACCGGCAUCGUCGACGGCGAGGGUGAGGCCCAGAUCCCCAUCAUCGACUACCGGAGGCUGCUGCUGGAGCUGGAUCCCCGCGGCGAGGAGUCCGCGCGCCUCCACAGCGCCUGCCAGGAAUGGGGCUUCUUCCAGGUCAGUACCGUUGGCUCAAAAUUCUCAGUUGACUUCCCCUUGUAAUUUUGCCUGUUCCUGAUACCAGAAAGUGGUUGGUGCUUUGCAGCUGGUUAACCACAGUGUCCCGGCCGAUGUGGUGGAGGGAAUGAAGGCCAACAUUCAGCAAUUCUUUCAGCUACCCGCAGAGACAAAGAAACGAUUCGCGCAGGAGCGAGGGCAGCUGGAAGGCUACGGUCAGCUGUUCGUCGUCUCGGAGGAUCAGAAGCUUGACUGGGCCGAUAUGCUUUACCUGUACACACAGCCACCUGAGAGCAGGAACACCAAGUUCUGGCCUGACCAGCCUGUUAACUUCAGGUAUGAUUGCUAUGUGCCUGAACUUGUCUUGUUACUGUUCAACCUAAUUACAGUGAAAUUGUGCUUUUUUUGCUCUCUCCUUGCCCUGCUUGGAGGGCAAAUUAGGUAGAAAGUUGAUUAAAAAAACAUCAUUAAGUGCUAACUGCAAGCCUGUUGUUUCAAGCUCUUGCCUUACCAGAUGGAACUUUGCGUUCUUAACCUUCCAUAAUUAAGUGUUGCACUUUGAAUGGCAUUCAGAUCGACGCUGGAUAGAUACUCUGGUGCUGUGAAGGAGAUAGCGGAUUCCCUUUUGGCGACGAUGGCGGAGAACUUGGGACUGAAACAAGAGGUGAUUGCUGACAGAUGCGUGGGCGGAGUGCAGUCUGUCAGGAUGAACUACUACCCGCCGUGCGCUCAAGCAGAGAAAGUCGUCGGCUUCUCCCCGCACUCUGACGCUGAUCUCCUGACCCUCGUCCUCCAAGUGAACCAUGUCCAAGGCCUGCAGAUCAAGAGGAACGGCAGCUGGUUCCCCGUCAGGCCUGUCGAGGGCGCUCUCAUCGUCAACAUUGGGGAUAUCUUUGAGGUAACUGUGAACUCAAUGCUGUUGUCUGCUGAUGAACAGAUAUUAUGACAGAUUUCCUGGUGCCAUACGCUAAGAAUCUGUAGAAUAAAUCAACCGAAUAAACCAGAUUUUCUUUGCCUGUUUUGCUCUGCUGAGGACUGCAGAUCUUCACAAAUGGGAGGUACAGGAGCAUCGAGCACCGUGCGGUCGUCGACCCCAAGGAGGAACGGUUGUCGGCCGCGGCGUUCCACUCCCCGAACAUCCACGCCACGAUAGGCCCGCUGAAGGAGCUUACGGCGGACGAAGACGAGGCCUACAAGACGGUGGACCACGAGAACUUCAUGAGGCUUUUCUUCGCGACGAAGCUGGAGGGGAAGAGCUUCUUGGAUCGGAUGAAGCUGAAGUAGCUAGCAGCUGAUUGCUACGUACCCAGCAUAGCAGGUAAACUGUGUCGUUGGUCCUCGCAUCAUUGUCAGAUAUUCAGGUAGUUCAUGCUCUCUGGAAUUUAGUUCCUGAUGGCCGUCUUGUUGGAGCACAAGAGAGCUGAACUUGGCAAACAUAAUAAUAAUACUGUGGUUUCUUCAGUAGUUGCUUGUGUUCUGCAAACAUUUGAUAGAUUUGCUCCUAUGUGCUUGAUGUCGUGUACAAAGUGGGCUAUGUGCUGCUGUGUCAUUUCAGUUUCUGUCCAGUGUGAAAACAGUUGAUUCCCAGAAAAUAAGAUAAGAAUGGAAGUUGAUCCCCAGAAAAUAAGAAUGAGAAAACAAGCAAGUUCACACUUUUCUAUUUCCAUGGUUGUGGCUGGACUGAUUUUCUGAAUAUUAUAUCAUUGGAUGAUGCGUGUUCGCUACCACCAUAUCUGUAUCUGUCCAUAUGUGCCAAAAGACAUGAGGUAGCCAGAUCAGAAGACUCAAGCAUCCAGGGAACCAGUAGCAUCUCAAUUAUCAAGAGCGGCAAGAGAUGGGAUCUCUUCCCGUCCCGAGUGUGCAGGCCUUGGUGGCGGCCACUGGCGGAGACGAUGUGCCGCCGAGGUAUCUCCGGCCAGAUGCGGCAGCGGAAGCGGUCACCGGUGACGGCGACGGCGAGGCUCAGAUCCCCAUCAUCGACCACCGAAGGCUACUGCUGGAGCUGGACCAUGGCGGCGAGGAGUCUGCACGCCUCCACAGAGCCUGCCAGGACUGGGGCUUCUUCCAGGUCAGUUCGUUCGCUGGCUCACAAUUUCCAUUGCACAUCGGCCUCUGCGGCUAUGCCUAUAUUCCCUCAACGCAACAAACCUAGCAAAGACAGUUGAAUUCCUCCUCUCGUACUACACAUGCCUCAUCAUCCUGAUACUAGCUAGAAUUGCUCUCCUGUUUGUUUGCAGUUAGUUAACCACAGUGUCCCAGACGAUGUGGUGGAGAGCAUGAAGGCCAACAUCCAGCAAUUCUUCCAGCUACCCGCAGAGACGAAGAAGCGAUUCGCUCAGGAGGAAGGGCAGCUAGAAGGCUACGGUCAACUAUUCGUCGUCUCCGAUGAUCAGAAGCUCGACUGGGCUGACAUGCUCUUCCUCUACGCACAGCCACCUGAGAGGAGGAAGACCAGGUUCUGGCCUGACCAGCCUGCUACCUUCAGGUAUGUAAGAUUGCGACGAAAUUCUUCGUUGCCAGUACCUGUCGCGCCGUUCUUGAGCUUAGUUAUUACGAGUACAAUGGAAUGAUGCUUUUUGGUCUGCUCAUUCAGAUCGACGCUGGAUAGAUAUUCUGGUGCGCUGAAGGAUGUAUCAGAUUCCCUUUUGGCUACGAUGGCGAAGAACUUGGGACUGAAACGAGAAACGAUCGCUGAAAAAUGCACCCGUGGAAUGCAGUCUUUCAGAAUGAACUACUACCCCCCAUGCGCCCAAGCAGAGAAAGUCAUUGGCCUGUCCCCGCACUCUGAUGCUAAUCUCCUAACCCUUGUCCUGCAAGUGAACCAUGUCCAGGGCCUGCAGAUCAAGAGGAACGGCAGCUGGCUCCCUGUCAAGCCUGUCCCGGGCGCUUUCAUCGUCAACAUCGGAGAUAUGUUAGAGGUGAGCGCGUGGCGCAGUCGAACACCGAUUCGAUGCUGCUGUCUGUCAAUGACCAGAUGUUAGAGUGUAUAUAUGUAUGGUGUCGUAUGCUAGAUUUUGCAGAACUGACAUAUCAUCGACCAAAUGAACCCAUUCCCGUUGUUUGUCUUGCUUUGACGACAAGGACAGGUCUUCACGAACGGGAGGUACAGGAGCAUCGAGCACCGGGCAGUCGUGGACCCCAAGGAAGAGCGGCUGUCGGUCGCGGCGUUCCACUUCCCAGACAUGGACGCCAUGAUAGGUCCUCUGGAGGAGCUGACCGCACAUGAGGACGACGCCUACAAGACGUUGGACCUCGAGAGCUUCAUGAAGAUCUUCUUCGCGACGAAGCUCGAGGGGAAGAGCUUCUUAGACCGGAUGAAGCUAAACUAGCAGCUGCUGAGUGACAGUUAAACUCUGCUGUCGUCGGUUACGAGUAUGGGGAUUGCAUCUGUGGUGUGUGUUAUCGUUUCAGUUCCUAUAUGUCCAGUGUGAAAAAUAAAGGAAUGAAUAAUGGAGGUUGAUCCCCACAGAAGAAGAAAACAAGCAAGUUGGCAUGAUUUUUUCUGAAUAUUAAGUUACUGUAUGAUGCGUCCUCACCAUCUUCUGUCUAUAUAUGCCAAAAGACAUGAGUUAGCCAGAACAGGGGAACCAGUAGCAUCUCCAUUAUCAAGAGUGGCCAGAGGGGAUGGAAUCUCUCUCCGUCCCGAGUGUGCGGCCACCGGCGGAGUCGAUGUGCCGCCAAGGUAUCUCCGACCAGAGGCGGAAGCGGUCACCGGUGCCGGUGACGGCAACGGCAACGGGGAGGCUCAGAUCCCCAUCAUCGACCACCGGAGGCUGCUGCUGGAGCUGGACCGCCGCGGCGAGGAGUCCUCACGCCUCCACAGAGCCUGCCAGGACUGGGGCUUCUUCCAGGUUAGUUGGCCGCGCACCUGUCUCUGCAUCAUCAUCAUCAUCAGGCUUGAUUUCUGUUAUGCCUCUGGUACUUGCAUCAUCAUCAGGCUUGAUUUCUGUUGCCUGUGUUUUGCUCCCCUGAUGACAGAUGUUGACGAACGGGAGGUACCGGAGCAUCGAGCACCGCGUGGUGGUGGACCCCGAGGAGGAGCGGCUGUCGGUGGCGGCGUUCCACUCGCCAAACACCCGCGCCACUGAAGGAGCUCGUGGUGGGUGCCGACGGGGAAGAAGACGUGGCGUAUGGGACGGUGGAGCAUGGGAGGCUGAGGGAGCUCUUCUUGGCGACGAAGCUGGAGGGGGGAAGAGCUUCUUGGAGCGGAUGAAGCUCCCGAGUAGAAGUAGUAGCUGAACCUAAUGGUGCCUGUCGCAGCAAGUCGUUGUCUCCGAAUUGGUUGCUGUUUUCAGCUUUUCCUUUGUGGUGUGGUGUGGAGAGGGAUGAGCAUUGUGGUGGAUGCUGCCGUGUUGUGUGUGGGAAUCAAUGUUCACAUGCUUCUUUGACGAGGGAUGUGUUGUAUACACAAAUAAUAACAACAACAAAAGGGUCUUCUUAUGACAAUCUUGCUGGCAGAUGGUGAUGACUUGAAUUAAUUUGAAUGAAACAUGGUCAUAACUCGCAUAGCUCUGUGUUCGGCUUCGCGUACUCAUUGUCCCAAACUCACGACUUGCUCUGCCCACCCGCGGCCAUAUGAACACUGGCAAAAUUUUGGCAAAAUCCCAGUGGUUACGUCUAGAUACAUCCAUUUCUGCGACAAGUAAUUCCGAACGGAGGGAGUAGUUGGAACCACAAGUCAUAAACUGCAACCUAAUACAACUCACCAAGUCAUGGUGUAGUAAUCUGGAGAAAAACUCUCAACAGAUAGGGAUACACAUUUGCUAAAGAUAGCCGAGAAACAAAAUGAUCAUCAUGCUAAAUAAAGAUGCUUAUUCGCAACAAUAAUAUCUUCUUUCUUUAAACUUGGUUCUACAUACACAGCGUAUCUCCUGCAUACAAGAGGCUCACUGGCAGGCCUCACGUGUUUGCAAUCGCAGCGUUGAUCAUGGAUACUAAAGCACCAGCAUUACAAAUUACUCCCUCCGUUCCAAAAUAAUUGUCUUUCUAGAGAUUUCAACAAGUGACUACAUACGGAGCAAAAUGAAUGAAUCUACAUUCUAAAACAUGUCUACAUACAUCCGUAUGUUGUAGUCCAUUUGAGAUAGCUAGAAAGACAAUUAUUUUGGAACGGAGGGAGUAUUUUCAUCGACAUGCAGUUGAUUUCUCCGAGAUCAAAACAAGUGAGUCAAAGUGUUCGUCCAAUACUGAAGCUCAAGUCACAGGAGGAUGCGCCGGGUUGGCCACCGCCAAGUUCUUCUUGGUCCUGGGCGUCGAACCCCACCGGUGCUCCUGCUGCUGCUGCUGCAGGACACAAACAGAGAGAUGGAAGAUGUUACAAAAAUGCAGUGUAGAUGCCGAUUCAACAAGCAAACCCAUGUGCCAUUUUGAGCUGGGUAUUAACGGGGCAGCUACAGAAACAUACUCCCUCCGUCCCAAAUUACUUGUCUCAGAUUUGUCUAGACACACCCAUAUCUAGACAAAUCUAAGACAACCAAUUUGGGACGAAGGGAGUACAAGGUUUACUGGAUCGAGUUAUAUAUACUGCAGCUCCACUUUCUUUCAGUUAAUAUAGAAAAAAUGAAACUACUUUAUUCUGUAGUGACAAGAACUGUACCGUUGGUGUUGGUGCUCUGGAAGGGUCAACCAACACUACUCAAACAUGCAUCGGAUCGGAGUGUAAUUAACACCCAUAAGAUCAAAGAAAUCUAACAAAAAUGCAGCAGUGACAGCUGACACUAGAUGAAAAUCAAACUCGUUCAAACCGACCGAUCAAAUUAAUCAAACAGUACGUCCAUCACUUUUGCCAACAAGCUAACAUAAGUUACCUUCCUACUGUUUGAACUUUGGCAUCAUUGACCCAUCUAGGCAUGCAAAUAGUACUGCCAGCAUCACUACAAAUUUCUUUCUAUCCUCAAUCAGUACAAACUUGAUAGUACUACUACUGCUAAUAAUACAAGUGCGUCCCAGCUCUACACAUCCUAGUAGUGAAUUUCUCACACUGCAUAGUACUGCUACGUCUGGUCCACUCACAAAAUCGCAGUGCAAGAAUAGAUAUCCAAAACCACAACAAGCAAACUGCCAAGAGCUGCGAAACAUACCAGAUAUCUAGUAGUUUAGGUUGGCAUUUGAACCAAAGGGUUGUGACCUCCUUCACAGUCAUGAGAUGCCUUGGAUCCUCUAGCGAUUGACGCAAGGCCAUCACACGCACUUCAUUGCUUUCCUGAAACAUCAAGUUUCAGCACCGAAAAUCAACAAAGGCACAAACUCAUGGGCGGAGGUAGUAUUUGUUACAGCAGAAAAAAAAGGGCAUAUGUUUCGUCUGUUUCAUCCAUGCUUUUCCCAUUGAACUGAAACCAUUUCCAAACUACGUGGAUUGGAGCACCCACAAAGCAAAGCAAACCAAACCAAACGAGCUAGCAAGCUAUAAGGGGAAAUCGAAAGCACUGCAACAAGCAAGGAAGGGUCAUCUCUUACCACUGCAGGGGCAUGAGCUCGCCGUAGAUGGCCACGGCAGGAGCCUAGGAUCAUGCUCUCCUCCUUGUCGUCGAGCUAGUUGGGUCCGGGGAUUGGGAGGUGCUGCUGCUCCAGGUCUGGUGUGAGGAGAAGAUAACAAUCAUGCAUUGUUAUAGUAAAAAUAUGAAGAGAAGCAGACAUUUGUUUCUUUGUCUGUCACCGUUAGAGAAUGAGCAGAAACCCAAUUUUGAAUUUUGAUAAAUAGGCAUUGCAGAGAGUGAGCUGCAACGAGUCCAAUGAUAAUAAUAGAGAGAAAAGGAAGUUAGUGAUCACUGAUCUAGGGACCGGUUAUUCCAACGGUAGACACGAAACUGUUUCAGUACAGUACAAUACAAAAAUCUUGCUAAUGCAGCACAAUGAAGGGAAAUGAAGUUCCUACUAAUGAUGUGUUUUCCAAGAAAUGAAACAAUCAAUUUUUUCAGGUAAUAUAAUGGGAACCAAGAGAGACAGUUGGAAACAUUGGUUCUGAAAUAAACUAGAGCUAGGGGAAACUACUUGUACUAGGGCUGCUCUAUGGAGGAGAUGGCAACCACUUUGCACACACGGAUGAUGGAACCAGAGAUGGCACCAUGCACACACUGUAUACGUGUUUGCAAAAAUAACAAGGCAUGAUCUCGCCCACCAUCACAGAAACAAAGUACAACAUCAUCUUGACAAACCGGUGGCAUAGCUUGCCACAGGGGGAUCACCAUCUAAUCUUAAAUGUAACUAGAGAGAAAAGCAACACAUAGAUAUGUAUUUGUGCAGCGGGAUCGGAUCAUCUAGUGCACACAAUACUCUUCUAAAGACAACACCCAGUGCAAGAGACAAAUGUGUUGGUACUUGACAAGAGAUGUAUUUGUUACAGCAGAAACAAAAAAAGAGAUCCUGGCAUGUUUGUCCUAGUGGGCUGAAAUCACCUCCAAACUACAUGGACCACAGCACCCCCACACCAAACCAAAAGGAAAUUGAAGCACUGCAGGAAGCAAGGAAGGGUGGUGGCCUUACCACUUCCGAAGCAAUUGUGUGCCAUCUCUGGUUGCACAGGGUCGUGAUCAUGUGGUUGCUGGUGUUUACUGCCUCCGAAGGUGGUGGUGGUGCUGGCUGAAGGAGAAGAAGAAGAUAAGAACAAGAUAAUCCUAUCUACUCCCUCCGUUCCUAAAUACUUGUCUUUCUAGGCAUUUCAACAAGUGACUACAUACGAAGCAAAAUGAGUGAAUCUACACUCUAAAAUAUGUCUACAUACAUCCGUAUGUAGUAGUCAUUUGAAAUGUCUAGAAAGACAAAUAUUUAGGAACGGAGGGAGUAGAUGCAACCAGCAAACAAGAUAAUGAAAAAAAUGAAUGUUGAGAAGAUGAGAUAGAAUCUACCCCUACAUUGGCAAGAGUGCUGGCCGUGACAGGGACUCUUGAUCUCCUCCAACUUGUCAAGCUAGCUGGGGCCGACUAUUUGGGCACUGCUGCUCCAGGUUGGCCGUGAGGUGGAGCAGCUAGCCAUGUCGUAUUGGCUGAAUCGCGAGGCUGCGCCGUCCCUCUAGCAGAACCGCAUGGAUGAAGGACUACUCUCCCUGUGCUGGACCGUGGAUAAGGAGCACCUCUGUCCCAGCCCAGCACGCAGACAGCUAAAAGUUUCAUAUCAAGUAACCAGAGUAAAUGUCUAACUUGUACAGAUCCCAUGUUUCCAACAAAUGAGAUAAGAUAAAUAUCUACAGAACAAGAGGUGUCAACCUUCCAAGGGCGCCUCUUUUCUGCAAGUGAAAUUGAUAUCCAACCAUUGCCACAUCCUAGCUCUGCUACUGUCAUAUCCCUGAAGAUGGAAUCUGCAUGCCAAUUGGGACCCUCGUAGAAAGUGAAUGGCCAAUCUUCUGGAAUGAAAAUGUAGGGUAUAUCCAUCAUUGUUAGCUUGUUUCUUCGCUGAAAUCCUAAAAGAAGUUAGACAAAUUUGUCAAGGUAUGCAAACUAUGGAGGAGCCAUGAACUGGGAUAGCUUUCUUACAUAGACAAAAUAACGGAGAAAUCAUGUCAGGUACAGACUUCUGGUAAAGGAACCAUGCAGAAUAACAUCUGUUCAAGUUCAAAGACUACACCAUCUUAUAUACAAUAUAGAUUAACUAGAGAUAUUUUGUACUAGAUAUGUUCUAUUUUAGUUGCUAUGGCAGUAACUAUCUCUAGACCUGUAUGUCUUGGUACUUGACAAGAGAUGUAUUUGUUAUAGAAAAAAUAACAGCAAAAUCAUGUCAGGAGCAGACUUGAGGUAAAGAAAGGAAUUUGUAGAGAACUGUUGUUCCAGUUCAAAGACUACACCAACCUAUAUACAAUAUUGCUCAACUAGAGUUAUUCUGAAAUAAGUAUCUGUACACCUGCAUGUGUUGAUACUUGACAAAAGAUGUACUCCCUCCAUCUAGAAUUACUUGUCGCUUGAAUGGAUAUACAUCUAGCAAUGAAAUACUUCCAGAUACAUACAUUUAAGGAACAACUAAUUCCGGGCGGAGAUAAUAUUUGUUACAGCAGAAAAAGAGAGGGCAUAUGUUUCCUCUGUUUCAUCCAUGUUUGUCCCAUUUAACUGAAACCACUUCCAAAUUACAUGGAUUGAGCUACCCCAAAGCAAACCAAACCAAAUGAGCUAGCAAGCUAUCAGGGGAAAUCGAAAGCACUACAACAAGCAAGGAAGGGUCAUCCUCUUACCACUGUAGGGGCAUGAGCUCACCGUAGACGACCAUGGCGGCAGCCCAGGACCUUGCUCUCCUCCUCCUCGUCAAGCUAGUUGGGCUUCCUCGCCGGCGACCACGGCGACGGCGAGCCCUUCGACGGGCCGCUCGGCGUGCUCGGCCACGCCUUCUCCCCGCCCAGCGGCCAGCUCCACCUCGACGCCGCAGAGCGCUGGGCCGUCCUCGGCAGCCGUGGACCUGGAGUCGGUGGCCACGCACGAGAUCGGCCACGUUCUUGGCCUGGCGCACUCGUCGGUCCCGGACGCCGUCAUGUACCCGAGCCUGAAGCCGCGGACGCGCAAGGCGGAGCUGACCCUGGACGACGUCCGCGGCGUGCAGGCGCUCUACGGCUCCAACCCGCGGUUCAGCCUCAGCUCCCUCUCCGAGCCCGACACCUCCGACGCGGCGGCCACCGACACCAGGUCGCCCGGGAAGACGACGGCCAUCCCGCUCCUGUUGCUCGUCGCCGUCGCAAUCCUCUGCUAGCUUGAUCAAGCUCUGCUAGGUGCUACUAGAUAGGAGUACUUACAUAGGAUACUGUAGACAUGAGUGCAUGACACGUCGUAAUUAAUUUGCAAGACUGAUCGGCCAUGGUUUUAUCAGGUGGGGUGGUUUAGAUUGCUUUGAAUUGAAGAAGCAAUUUGUUGUGAUUGGAUAUAUAUUUAUACAAGAAAGCAGAAAAGAAAUACUAGAAAAAAAACACAAGUCAAGCAUAUCGUCGUACUACUUUGUUGUUUCUAAAGCUAACAGGACAGGACAGAUGAGGAUUUUCUUUCUUUCUUGUCUUGGUUGAUGGACAGAUCAUUGAUGAGUUAAGUUAUGGUUUGAUUUUGGAGAAGAAAGUUGCUUCUCUGUGGCUAGUUUUUCUCGGCGUUUCAUGGACCUGGCUAGGGUAGGCAUGCGCUAUCAGGAAGCAUAUGUUAUCCUUCGUUCUUAAAUAUUUGUCUUUUUAGAGAUUUCAAAUGAUUACCACAUACGGAUGUAUAUAGACAUAUUUUAGAGUGUAGAUUCACUCAUUUUGCUCCGGCUGUAGUCACUUGUUGAAAUAUCUAGAAAAACAAAUAUUUAGAAACGGAGAGACUAGCAACUAGUAGUAGCAAGGAUAAAGUAAAGAGAUGAGACGAAAGCAACAUGCACGACGAUGAGACAGACACGAUGGAUCGAUAUCCUUUCUCUUUCGGUUCGGGAUCAAAAAAGUUGCACCAACGACGUCGCGUUCGCAUGCUCCGCACGCACGCACAUGAACGCGUGGAACCCGUGUUGCGGUUGCGUAGUGAGGCCGGCAGCCAUGGAAGCAGCAGUGACGUACGGGCAGACUUUCUCCCUUGAGCAAUGGCGGGUCAGUGUCGGCCAGACUGACUUCUUCCCUGCCGGCUUCGGCUUCUUCGUCCGCACGGCCGCCGCAUCCACCGAUUCUGGUCGCCGGCCGCAGGUGGUGAGAUAACGCGUCCAAGCGGUGGCCGCCUCUUUUCCUCCACGGGCCCGGGCAAGCGAAACCGGUGGGCGCACUAUGCACCAAUUUUUUUAAGAAUUAAUCUCUACUUCUAAUGGAGCAGUUGGUAGUCUCGCUUCCAGAUUUUUUUUCGUCCCACCACUUUCGUCCUGUUUUUUUUCGUAGGUUAACCGUCGUAGAUAUUUUUCGAUGCUGCUUUCUUAUUCACCGGUUUAUUUACCCAUCAGCUUUUUCCUUGCAAAUCAGCACUUUCCAAACGUGCACGUAAUCACGAAUCUAAAUUUACUAACUUAUCCAAAUCAACCGAUACCUUCCAUUAUUGCAAAUUUCUUUAGGAAACAAAUAAUAGAUUUUAAUGAAACAAAUAAAAGAUUUUAAAAACGCAUCAUACUUUACUAACAAUCACUAAAAAUCAAAUCUAAAUUAAUUAACCUUACCUUAAAUCACUCAAUCACUUUAAUUAGAAAACAUUUUCUUUCCUAACUGCAGUUGGUAGUCUCGCUUCCAGGUUUUUUUUCGUCCCACCACUUUCGUCCGGUUUUUUUUUUGUAGGUUAAUCGUCGUAGAUUUUUUUCGAUGCUGGUUUCUUAUUCACCGGUUUAUUUACCCCUCAGCUCUUUACUUGCCAAUCAGUACUUUCCAAACAUGCACGCAAUCACGGAUCUAAAUUUACUAACUUGUCCAAAUCAACCGAUACCUUCCAUUAUUGCAAAUUUCUUUAGGAAACAAAUAAUAUAUUUUAAGGAAACAAAUAAAAGAUUUUAAAGACGCAUCAUACUUUACUAACAAUCACUAAAAAUCAAAUCUAAAUUAAUUAACCUUACCUUAAAUCACUCAAUCACUUUAAUUAGAAAAUAUUUUCUUUCCUAACUGCACCCCGCUUAGUGUGCACAUAACAAUCCGAAGUAAUUACAGUCACAUGAUUGAAUCCAUUUAUUUAGAGUGACAUGAUUGAAUUCAUUUAUUAACAAUAAUCCUCACCAAAAGUGCGUUUAGCAAUUUUAGAGGGCGGACCAAAACUCUGUCAUCCGCUCGCCCGCGUUUGUUUAGGUACAGGAAAAAAUGGCAUAAUAUAUGGAAACAACACGACCGGGGAGACGGCGCAAUCUUCGGGGAUAGGGAUCGGAGGAGAAGGAUUGGCCUGGCAACAUGAUCGGGGUGCUUCCCCGCGGCCGCGGCCGUCCUCGCGAUGCCACCUACCCGAAAUCAACGCUGCUCCCUGUCGUCAGCCGAGGCGACGCCGCCUGCCCUCCUACCCACGGUCCGCUGCCGCGUGCAGCUACGGCGGGAGGAGAAGCGACGGGGCCGAGGUCCUUCAUGUGUUCCGGGAUGGAGGCCAUGAUUUCGUCGAGGUCGUUGCUGCCUCCUACACUCAGGGUGUGUCGCCGAGAUCGAGGCGAGCAUAAGGAGCUGUGGCCACCGCCAUGGUCACCCCAUCGCAGGGGAUGGAGCACACCGUCGGCCUACAGCUUGUGGAGAUCACUGUUGCUCUUCAGGUCGCGUGGUGACCGGAUCUUGCCGAUGUGUCCCUCCCCAACGACCUCCUCUUCGCCCGGUUGGCCGGCAUGGAUCUCGCCACUGCUGCCCUCAACUUCUCUGCCUCGAGCUCGACGGUCAGCCACCAUGGAUCCCCCAGCUGGAGGGUCACGUGAACCAGCCGUCCUCCCAUGCUACAGCGGCGAGAAGGUGACAUGGCUCUCCGUACACGAAGAGUGGAGUUCAGUCAAGUACUUAUAUACUUGGCCUCUACUGCUGAUCCAUGUACAUGGAGAAGAACAGACAACCGCUCAUUCAUGCUUCGUUCCACUCCUUUGCGCUACAUUACUGGAGGUGACAUUUUCCUAUCUCUCUAUGUUGUAACAAGCCUGCUGCCUGCAUAGUUAAUGGAUUUUUUAUUUAAAUUUAUCGCUGCUUAGUGCUUUGUUGCAAUUGUUCACCCAAGAUUCUUAUAUAUAAUCUGAGCGUAUGUAGGCAUACUUAGCUUUGCUAUUCCAUUUUUUCUGGCGCAUAGAAAUAAGAGUAUUGUCCAGGUUAGGUAUUCAAUUGAGUAUGGUAUUUGGAUUGCUAUCAGAAUGUCUUUUCUAUGCAUGUGAUUUCUCACAUCUGAUUAUAAUAUUUGUGAAGACGUGCAUUGCACGUGCACUUGGAAGCGGGCCCGUGGCCCGCGCUGGACGGCGCCGACGCCGACCCGAGCCACCUCGUCCGCGUAUUCUUGGAGCUGUGGCUGGUCGAUUUACAUGAAAUUAAUUCCCCCAGUUCUGGUGGCAAAUAUAAUACACAUAAUCCAUAUUGUUAUGCACUAGCGUGUAUGUGUGAAAUAGAUGGAUUAUGAUCCCGUACCCAAUAAGAUAGAUAUGCAUGUGUGUUAGAGAGAGAGGGAGAGGGGGAUAGAGAGUGAGGAAGAGGGAGGAAGAGUGUGUGUCUGUGUGUGUGAGGAUUUGAUGGUAAAAAAGAUCGUCAAUAUCGUAAUAUUGAACUCUUAAAAUUAAUGUAACCCCGUUGCAACGCACGGGCGUUCUUCUAGUACUACUAAUACUCAAGUGUUGUAGUACUCCUGUAAAAAGUUUCGUCAAGGAAUGGAUUUCCUGGUAUUGUGGGCGAAAAAAAAAAUUACCACUAUAUAUACAGGUCACUAUUCACACUUUUUGUCCCUUGAUUUUUUUUCCAGAAGGCGAUAGGAGUUUUUUGUUGACGAAAUUUUCUAUACAAGUGCAAAAUAGAGUCAAGAUUGUUCCCCAAAAAAUCAGAUUUUUUUUUGACUUUUUCUAAAUUACUAAAUUUGUUGUUUUUCUUUACUAUUUUUGAAUUAGUAAAUUUGUUUCUCAACGAAAAGUGCUGGCCGGCUUCGGUGUGGGCUCGUUGCAGCAGAGUUGUCGUCGCUGGUCCAAGAACCAUGAUGUAUUUUUAUGAAGUUUAGACAUGCUUUCUAGUAUUGAAUUCAUGCUUCAACCAGCUGCUUCGAAAGUCCGAGCUAGGGAGAGGGCCGAACAUUAUACUCCAACACCCCCCUCACGUCUAUGCUCCUUAACUAAUCGAUGUAGAUUGCAGAUGAACUCGUGCUCCAGCCAGUUGCUUCAAAAGUCCGAACUGAUUUAGAGAGGCGAGCAAUAUAUUUCACCUGAACACUCCCCCUCACGUCUAGUCUUAUUUAUUUUUGAGACGUGGGAUAGAUGUAUAGAAUCUUUUUAUUUUAAUAUUGUGUUGACAGUGUUUUGAACUCAAGAUCUGUUGACUUUAAUACCAUAUUGAAUUCAUGAUUCAGCCAGUUCUCCAAAAGUCUGAACUAUGAGUUAUUACCGAACAUUAUACUCAUAUACUUCUGUGUGCAAUUUGAAAACCAUAAUUGUUGUUGCAAAAAGUGCAAGCUUUGUGUUUUUAUAAGGACAAAUAGGAACACAAUUCUGUGUGCACUUUCACGUACGCACGAGCAAAUUCUGUGUGCGUUUCAUGGACCUGGCUAGGCUAGCAUGCACUAUCAGGAAGGCAUUAUAUUAUCGUGCAGCAACUAGCAGCAAGGAUAAAGUAAAGAGAUGAGACGAAAGCAACAUGCACGACGACGAGACAGACACCAUGGAUCGAUAUCCUUUUUCUUUCAGUCCGGGAUCAAAAAAGUUGCACCAGCGACGUCGCGUUCGCAUGCUCCGCACGCACACACAUGAACGCGUGGAAUCCGUGUUGCGAUCAGGUGCGGCUCCAGCGUGGGGUCGUGUAGGGGCGGCCGCCCCGGGUAAAAUUUUGAAACCUAGGGUACCCCCAUACUGAUUUUGGCUGGCGGCCACCAUGGGAGUCGGGCAGGUUUGCUGGAAGGUCUCAGGUGUGGUCGAGCGGGACGAGGAAAGAGGAAAACGAUUCGCCAGGUAACUGCUCGCUAGGAGAUCUUUAGAUGGGCCAAUCAAGUAAGCCCAAUAAAACUUAGAUGAGCCCAUCAGUUAUUGUACGCAGCCUGAUUUUCACGUUCACAGUUCUCCUGGAACUAAUUGUCCUGAUUCCUGAACUCACGCCUCACGCCUCACACGAUCAUGCCCUGCCGACGCGAUGCCGCCUCCACUGCCGUCUCGUUGUCGUCUGCGCUGCCCAGGUCUAUCCAGCCGAUGGUGCUAGAUGGAGAAGGAGAAACGAGUCCACCUGUUCUCCAUGCCGUUCAUACGGGAAGAGGAGUCGCCGCGAGCAGGCAACAGAGGCAACAAGGACCAGGUUCUUUCGCUCUCCCCUAGUAUUCUCUUCUGUUCUAGUAUCAUGUUUAAUUUGUUGUCAUGUUAGCCUAAUUCUUGGAAGAUGAACACUGAAAAUUAAUUACAAAUGUGAUGUUCGGGCCAUCUUACAAAUCCUCCACGUAUAACUACAACUUAGUGGUAAACAUUUGCUGUGUCUUUUGUUUAAAAAAAUGGCAUACUAUUCCAUGAUUUAGAUUAAUCUGAUUGUUUUUACAUGUUUCAGGUAGUCCAGGUUAGACAUUAUGUGAUUUUUUGCGUUACCAUAUUUUACCUAGUUCUUGCAGAUGAAACUACUUUGAUAAAUUUAUUGUGUUGAUAGUCUUGCCUACAUGCAUACUCUUGGUCAAUUAUUUUUCUUGAUUGUCGUAUUUGAUCAUAUUGUGGUUUUGAAUUUUUGUUUCCUAUAAAAGUCCGCCCUGGUAACUUCAAAUCCUGGAUCCGCCACUGGUUGCGAUUGCGUAGUGAGGCGGGCAGACUUUCUCCGUUGAGCAGUGGCGGGUCAGUGUCGCCCAGACUGACUUUUCCGGCCGGCCGGCUUCGUCCGCACGGCCGCCGCAUCCACCGAUUCUGGUCGCCGGCCGCUGGUGGUGGGCCCUUGAUUUUUUGUCCCUUGAUUUUUUUUCGUUGAUUACCACUAUAUAUACAGGUCACUAUUCACACUUUUUGUCCCUUGAUUUUUUUUCCAGAAGGCGAUAGGGGUUUUUUGUUGACGAAAUUUUCUAUACAAAUGCAAAAUAAAGUAAAGUUUGUUAAAACAAAAUAAGUUUUUUUUUACUUUUUCUGAAUUACUAAAUUUGUUGUUGUUGUUUUCACUUUUUAAACUUACUAAAUUUGUAACGAAAAGUGUUGGCCGGCUUCAGAGUGGGCUCGCUGCAGCAGAGUUGUCGUCGCUGGUCCAAGAACCAUGAUGUAUUUUUAUGAAGUUUAGACAUGCUUUCUAGUAUUGAAUUCAUGCUUCAACCAGCUGCUUCGAAAGUCCGGGCUAGGGAGAGGGCCGGACAUUAUACUCCAACACCCCCCUCACGUCUAUGCUCCUUAACUAAUCGAUGUAGAUUGCAGAUGAACUCGUGCUCCAGCCAGUUGCUUCAAAAGUCCGAACUGAUUUAGAGAGGCGAGCAAUAUAUUUCACCUGAACACUCCCCCUCACAUCUAGACUUAUCUAUUUCUUAGACGUGGGGUCGAUGUAGGCCGUAGAAUCCUUUUAUUUUAAUAUUGUGUUGACAGUGUUUUGAACUCAAGACCUUUUGACUUUAAUACCAUAUUGAAUUCAUGAUUCAGCCAGUUCUCCAAAAGUCCAAACUAUGAGUUAUUACCAAACAUUAUACUCUAACAUAUACUUCUGUGUCCAAUUUGCGAACCACAAUUUUUGUUGCGAAAAGUGCAAGCUUUGUGUUUUUAUAAGGACAAAUAUAGGAACACAAUUCUGUGUGCACUUUCACGUACGCACGAGCACGAUCUUGUAAAGUGAUGAGUACAUGGGUGGGAGGCAUUAUUAUUGUACGUUGGUGGGUUGGGCCGGCAGCGGCAUCCGUGCUACAGACGGAAUUUCUGCCUUCGGCAAUGGCGGGUCGCUGUCGUCCAAACUUAGCCGGCCUGCACGCGUCCGUCGUGAGUUGCCGUCUGCACGCACGGUCGCCACCUCUGCUUCGGCUUAGGGGCUGGACGUUCCGCUGCGUGCGCCUCAAAAAGAUUGCUGUCUCUUUCCUUCCCUACAAAAGAUGAAAAGGAAUUAUUUUUUCUUUGCCGGGAAAAGAUGAAAAGAAAUCGAUCCCUGUGAAAGAAGAAAUAAAAAAAAAGUCGGUGAGAUAAGCAAAUUCUCAUACUGUAAACUGGUCCGAAGGGAGUACUGGUCAACUUUGGAAGGAUUCGUGCAAACGGGCCGGCCCAUUACCAGGCGACAACCAACGUAAUAGAAUGUUUUUUCAUUAAAAAUUGCAGCCUGGAUGGAUUCAAACCCGUGACCUAAUGCUGGAUAAACCCGUGAUUACAUACAUCUUUUUUCGUCUUUUCUUCUUUCUUCCGUUCUUUUCUUUUUCUCUGCCCUUUUUUCUUUAACUUUUCAAAUUCGUGGACUCUUUCUUCAAAAUAGAUUAACCUUUUCCAAAAUCCAUCAACUUGAAAAACAAUCAAUAAUUUUUUUCAAAAUCGAAGAACUUUUUUCAGCUUUAUGAUUUUUUGUCCAAAGUUGAUGAACUUUUUCUCAAAUUCGAUGAUUUUGGAUCAAAAUUGAUAAAAUGUGUUUUCUUUUUUUUCUGUAUUUUUUCAAAUUGAUGGACUUAAAAAAAGAUGAACAGUUUUCAAAUUUACAUUGUUUUUAGAAAAUCGAUGAAAUGUUUUCAAAGUUGAUGAACUUUUUUACAAUUCGUGAACUUUUUUAAAAUCAAUCAAUUUUUUAAAAAUUGUGUAUUUUUGAAAUCUGCAAACUUUUUUCAUAUCGAUCAGCAUUUUUUCCAAAUUUUCAAAAGUCAAUAAUCAACACGGUCAACUGCAAGCGGUCAAAGGUUAAAUGGUCAACUGGUGCCAUCAAACUAGCGAGGAAGCUUUUUUUAUCGAGCGAAGCGAUCGAACGAAGCGACCGAUUAUUUUUCCUUAUUGGGCUGGUCCAAGAAAGAGCUUGCACGUGAGCCCCGGGAGCCAAAAUUGGCCGAAAUCACUAAUUGAGGAGUACUCCUUUCAAAGUUCACUCCCACCUCCCCGGGUUGCGAAAAAGUGGAACACUGCAUAUGCACCACUUGUCAAAACCUGAGAGUUUUGCCUUUUUCGCAAAUCUAUUUUUUCAAAACGCUUUAUCUCUAAAACCAUGCAUCCAAAUCUCGAACCGUUUUCACCGUUGGAUUCCUUGCGCCGAGAUCUUCAAAACUAGGUCUCAUGUUGAUAGGUUUUGACAACUCUUUUUCACAAAAAAAUCGGACACGAACUGGGAGCACAUUUUUCCCCUUACUUGAAGCCGUUUCCGAGAGGCACAGCCGUGCCUCUCGCGGAAGCAAAGCCGUAGCUCUCGAGGAAAAAAGAAAACUCGCUUUUCUUUCAUUUUCGAGAGGGGCAAGCAAAAACGUGCCUCCCACGGAAGAGAAAAAAAAGAGAGAAAACACUUAUUUUUUAUUCCGAGAGGCACGGCCGUGCCAUUCACGAAAGCAAAACCGAGCCUCUCGCAAAAGCAAAAUCAUGCCUUUCACGGAAUAAAAAAAAGAGGGAAAAUGCAUUUUUUUUCUGGUUCCGAGAGACACUGUCGUGCCUCUCGCAGAAGCAAAACCGUGCCUCUCACGAAAAAUAUAUAUAUAUAUGAGAAAACACGUUUUUCUGUUUACGAGAGGCACAACCAUGCCUCUCGCGGAAGAAAAAUCGUACCUCUCACGGAAGCAAACAAAAGAAAAACUCAUUUUUUAUACGUUUUAAAAAAAAUCUUGUCAAAGAGCUAGAAAAGAUCGGUGAAAAACAGGAAAGAAAAAAAACAGGAAAAAACCAUCUAAAAAGCAUAAAAGGCAUGUGAAAAAUAAAAAUAAAAAUAAAAUUCGGAUGGAGCGUCCAGGGUGCGACACGUGGCGGCGGUUGAGAGUACACCAAGUGGUAGCUCUCAGUCCACCCCCAAGUGAUUGUUGGGAGGCUUCCAAAAAGGAGCGCUCGCCAACUAGUUACUUACAUUUCUGCGCAUAUGGCGCCAACGAGGAGCACUCCUAGGGCUUUAUCUAGAUGCAGCUUGGUUUAACGAGUUGGGCCCAACAAUGUUAAUAGUCUGAGCUGGUUAUUUGUUUUCCUUUCUUUUGUUUUUGUGUUGUUUGUAAAUGAUUUUCUUUGUUUCUUCACCACUGUUCUUCGGUUCUUCUGCAUUUCUCCACCAGUUGUCUUCUUUUUCCCAUUUUCCAACACAUUGUACACUAUUAGUGUACAUUUCGAACAUUUGUUUGUACAGGUCGGGCAUUUUUUAAAAUUGAAGAGAUAUAUUUAUAUUUUGAAUAAUUUUUAAAACACAUUAAACAUUUUUCUAAUACACAUUGAAGAAGAUGUAUAUAUUUUCAGAUGUAUGUUUUUAUUUUUUAAUACAUGUUAAGCAUUUUCAAAUACACAUUUAAAUUUUGUGUCAAACUAGGCAAAAGUUGUAUUACAUUGUAUAAACUUUUGUUAAAUGUGAUGAACAUUUAUAUGAAAUGCGUGAGUAUUUCUUUCAAAUGUCUAUUACUUUUUUAAUGACAUGAGUUUUUUCUAUGAGAAAUUGAAAAUACCAUGUACAGCCUUUUGAAAGACAUUACAUUGUUUUGAAAUGUCGUGUGCAUUGUUUUAUUGGUACAAAUUUUCUAUCUGACGUAAACAUUUUUUGUAUUGCAUAAAAUUUUCGUUAGAUGUAACAAACAUUUUCUUGAAGUAUGUGAACAUUUUUGGAAUGUCACGAACAAAUUUUCAAACACGAUCAACAUUUUUUCCAAGUUCUGUGAAUAGUUGUUUUACACUAAACAAACAUUUUUCAAACGAGUGAUUAAUACUUUAUUGGAAUUAAAUAAAAUAUGUUUCUAUUUGAGAAAUAUUAAAAGAAAUAAAUAAAAAAAUGUGUGCCAGGAGCCAGCCCUUCCUCAUACGAUGGGACGGACCAUUUAGGGAGGUGCCUUAGGUUGGGGGUUCUUCCGUCUCACUAUAAGCGAGACAAAACCCAAAUUGGUGCACAAUAGAGUGUAUUCAGUAUGCGGCGCGCACGAAAUCACUAAUUAAGGAGCACUCUUUCUGAAGGCCACUCCCACAUUCUCAUGUAGCGACAAAGUGGCGCACCGGGAGUUUUAUCUUUUGUUUUUCAUAGAUCCGUUUAUUCAAAAUGUUUUAUCUCUUAAACAGUGUGUCCAAAUCUCGAAUUGUUUUCAUCGUUGGAUUCCCCUAUUCAAAAGUAGAUCACAUAUUGAUAGGUUUUGACGAUUUUUUUUAAAAAGAACAAAAUAAAACAGAGGAAAAAACCACACCGGGAGCACAUUUUUUUCCUUUCCAAAAACCAUUUCAGAGAGGCACGUCUGUGCCUCUCGUGGAAGCAAAAGCGUCCCUCUCGCGGAAGGGAAAAACACGUGCCUCUCGCGGAAGAAGAAAAAAGAAAAUAUGGUUUUUCGUGUUUCUGUGACACAUGGCCGUGCCUCUUCUGGAGGCAAAUCCAUACCACUCAUGGAAGGAAAAACAAAGAGAAAAUGUAUUAUCUUCUUCGAGAGGCACGGCCGUGCCUCUUGCGGAAGCAAAAGAAAAAGAUAAGCAUUUUUUUCCUUUGUUGAGAGGCACGAGCAUGCCUCUAGCAGAAGCAAAUCCAUGCCUCUCGCGAAAAAACACUCUGUGCCUCUCGCGGAAGGAAAAAAAGUACUUUUUUUGAAAAACAAAAAAAAUCAAAUUUAUUUUUGUUGAAAAGCUAAAAAAGACUGGUGAAAAACCCGAAAAUAAACCUUCUAAAUAACCGACAACAUGUGUGGAAAAUUAAAAGAAAAUAUCCGAAGGAAGCGUCUAGAGCGUGACAUUGGCGCGCUCGCAACCCACCCUCUCGAAGGGGCCCUCCUCAAUUAUUUGCUCUCCGGCGCACACCUUACCACCCCACAACCGAAAUGGGCAGGCCCAUUCAGCGGAGGAGCAAAAAUUGGUCUUCUUGUGUUUUAAUCUUCUUUUGGCUGUUUUUCUUCCUGUUUUGUUUUUGUCAGGUGUCAAGCCGGUAUUUCGUUGUUCUUAUUUUGGUUUUAUUCUUUUCCUGUUCCCCCUUUAAAUUUCAUGAAUAUUUCCCUUUUGUCAAAUUCGUGAUUUUUCCUAAAUUCGGGAUUUUUUACCUUAAAUUCAUGACAUUUUUCAACUUCGUAAACUUUUUGUCUCAAACUCGUGAAAUUUUUCCUUAGAUAUAUGAACAUUUUUGUCUCAAAUUUCUGUGACGUUUUUCAAAUUUGUGAAGUUUUUCCCUCAAAUAUGUGAUCUUCCUUCAAAUUCGUGAACCUUUUUUCUGAAAUAUGUGAACCAUUUUAAAAUUCAUGAUUUUGAAACAUUUGAUUUUCUCAAAGUCCUGAACUUCUUUCCAAUUCAUGAACUUUUUUCCUGAAAUUUGUGAACAUUUUCCCAAAUUCAUGAACUUUUUAAAAUUCCUGGAACUCCUGAAGUUCUUUCCAAUUCUUUAAAUUUGAUGAAGUUCAAAAAAUUCAACUCUGUGAAAUUUUCUGAAUUCAUGAAUAUGUUUCAAAUUUGUGAUUUUUUUUUUCAAAUCUAUUAACAAUUUUGAGUUUUGUAAUUUUUUUCUUAAAUUCGUUUUUUUUAAUCUAUGAAUAUAUUUUAAUUCAAAAAAUCUGGAACCAUAAUGAAACAGAAUAAGAGAAAACCAAGAAAAAAAAA